This 206-nucleotide ribosomal RNA is filed under the name uncultured bacterium. RNAcentral describes it as "partial 16S ribosomal RNA". It matches the Rfam family "Bacterial small subunit ribosomal RNA", at positions 568 to 773 of the family's 1533-position model. The record is from RNAcentral.
CGUGUAGGAGGCAAAACAAGACGGAUGUGAAAGCCCCCGGCUUAACCGGGGGAGGUCGUACGUGACUGUAGAGCUAGAGUGAGUUAGAGGUAAGCGGAACUCCGGGAGUAGUGGUGAAAUGCGUAGAUAUCCGGAAGAACAUCAGAGGCGAAAGCGGCUUACUGGGACUUAACUGACACUGAGACGCGAAAGCCAGGGUAGCAAAC